UACAGAGGGCGCGAGCGUUAAUCGGAUUAACUGGGCGUAAAGGGCGCGUAGGCGGUUAUGUGAGUGUGAUGUGAAGGCCCUGGGCUUAACCUAGGAAGUGCAUCGCAAACGACAUGACUGGAGUAUUGGAGAGGGUAGCGGAAUUUCCGGUGUAGCGGUGAAAUGCGUAGAGAUCGGAAGGAACGUCGAUGGCGAAGGCAGCCACCUGGCAUAAUACUGACGCUGAGGCGCGAAAGCGUGGGGAGCGAACAGG
This 253-nucleotide ribosomal RNA is filed under the name uncultured bacterium. RNAcentral describes it as "partial 16S ribosomal RNA". It matches the Rfam family "Bacterial small subunit ribosomal RNA", at positions 524 to 776 of the family's 1533-position model. The record is from RNAcentral.